UUAAGACGUGUUCUCUUCCGAUCAUGAGCAAAGACGUGUCGAAGUGAAAGUUCCUGGGAUUAUUGAACGUAAAUCUGUGCACGAGCCUAUGCAAACAGGGUUA
Long non-coding RNA from Ipomoea nil (Japanese morning glory), 103 nucleotides. RefSeq lists it as uncharacterized. Lineage: Eukaryota; Viridiplantae; Streptophyta; Magnoliopsida; Solanales; Convolvulaceae. The transcript has 3 exons. The record is from RefSeq and is a predicted model, not a curated record.